CUGAGUCAACAACCUGGCUAGCCCUGAGCAUGACUUCAUAAAUCAUGGGUCUGCGUGAUCUCCUCCCAUGAGAGGCAACUCAGCAGCUCGGUCCCCUCUGCCAUCUCAGCACCGCCAGUGGAAAAGCCCAGGAGGAGCAGAGCAGUGGCUGAGCAACAGUUUGAAUAUUCAUAUUUAACCCUUCGAACAACAGAAGAUACGUCAGAACCAUGUUAAGAAGGAUAAGCUUGGAGUGCCCAGUCACCGUGGUAACUGCCAGAAAAAUUCUCCUGAAGUUUGAAGAGGUCAGCUAACGGGGUCAACAACUCUGGCCUCUCUCUGAGCUGGGCCUGGCAGGCUCCAUCCUGCGGUUGGGGUGUUAGCACAGGCUGAGCCCUGGGAGGUGGACCAUUCCAGCUCUGAUAUAAAUUUUUUGAGUCAGUUCACGGCCUGGACUCUCCAGGUGGCCUCCAAAAUCGAUUGUGACCUUGUGACCCUGUCUAACGGAGGCAUAGCAUCCAACCUAAGUAAGGAUUUAGCCAGGAACGACAGCUUUCCACUGAGUGUUAUUGGGGACAGUACAAACAGUUUGGGAAGCAAGGAGAUCAGCCCUCUUCAGAACCCCAUUUCUGGCAAUCUCAGCAACACGUGGGGGUCUGGCAGCUUCUGCAAACAUUGCCAUCUUCCCUCCCUGCUCCUUCUGCACUGUUACACCAGCUCCACAGCCUGUCAUUUCUCAGGAGCCCUUAAUGAUGCCUUUCCUCCAUCAUCUGCCCCACGGCUCUUCCAGAAUCAGAUGCUUUUGUCAAAGUUUUUCAAGCCAAUCUAGAAAUAGAUACUGAAAUAAAGGCAGGUGAUCUGGUGGUGGGGUGACGUUC
RNAcentral lists this long non-coding RNA (857 nucleotides) under Lepidothrix coronata (blue-crowned manakin). Its description in RNAcentral is "lncRNA (ENSLCOG00000014340.1)". The record is from RNAcentral. Lineage: Eukaryota; Metazoa; Chordata; Aves; Passeriformes; Pipridae.